This 279-nucleotide ribosomal RNA is filed under the name uncultured bacterium. RNAcentral's name for it is "partial 16S ribosomal RNA". It matches the Rfam family "Bacterial small subunit ribosomal RNA", at positions 506 to 784 of the family's 1533-position model. The record is from RNAcentral.
UGCCAGCAGCCGCGGUAAUACGUAUGGUGCAAGCGUUGUUCGGAUUUACUGGGCGUAAAGAGCGCGCGGGCGGAUAAUUGAGUCGGGAGUGAAAACUAUGGGCUCAACCCAUAGCCUGCUUCCGAAACUGGUUAUCUGGAGUCCCGGAGAGGCAGGCGGAAUUUCAGGUGUAGCGGUGAAAUGCGUAGAUAUCUGAAGGAACACCAAUGGCGAAGGCAGCCUGCUGGACGAAGACUGACGCUGAGGCGCGAAAGCGUGGGGAGCGAACAGGAUUAGAUA